Long non-coding RNA from Mirounga angustirostris (Northern elephant seal), 1136 nucleotides. RefSeq lists it as uncharacterized. Lineage: Eukaryota; Metazoa; Chordata; Mammalia; Carnivora; Phocidae. The transcript has 4 exons. The record is from RefSeq and is a predicted model, not a curated record.
GUAGCCGCCCCUUCUCUCUCCGACGAGUCGCCCAACCUCUGGGUGCUGAUUGGCUGUGCACAGGUGAGUGACAAGCCAGGAAGUACCGCGGGGGGAGAUGCUGGCUCUGCAGGAAAAACCAAUGCAGGGUUCAAGGAGAGGGGUCUUGGGGAUUUUGUGGGUGGGAGGGCUCGAGGACUCAGAGACCGAACCUGACCCCAGUACCACCCCAAAACGGGCAACACCUUCCAGAAUAGCCUUCGAAGCGACCCGAUCCCCUCUCGGCUACAAGUGAAUCUGGGACCUAGACGCCGCGACGGGGCCUUGGUCUCGGUGCCUUUCUGGUCCCACAAUCCGAGCGAGCUUCCUGGCCCUCAAAGGGGACUUGUUUUGUGUCUGUUUCGCAAUGGAGCCAUUGGCCUGAUUUUAAUAAAUAUCCCGCCCACUGCACCAACCUUUCCUGAAAGCCAUCCUUGAUCGGAAUGUUGCCACCCCAAUUCAACCAUUUUCAAAACUUCAUAUUCUACACACAAAAUCCUAAGAACUCUUCCGAGGCUUCCAGCCCUAAGGACUUCCCCAACAUCGUCCACCACUACGACCCUUUGAAAGCAAGUGCGUUAUACAGACGAUUAAAGGUGAAAUGAAGCCAUUCUCAAAUGAAGGAACAAUAAGAGAAUUCAUCGCCAGAAUUGCUAAUGGAUGUUCUUCAGGUAGAAAGGAAAUGAUACUAGAAGAAAUGAAGGAAAAGCAACAGAAAUGGGUUCCCAGGGCACCCAAGAAAGCACGUCAUGGGAGCAGCUCUGCCAACCCUAUGCCAUGACAAAUGACUUUCUGUACUGACUGAGGGCCAGGGGCUGGCGUACGGACAAGGAAGCGCUCCCAGUACAAGGAGUUGAUUUACGGAGGAAGGAAUGAAGCUCUACAAGAAAGUUGAGCAACAAAGAGCUUCGCCUGUCUUCCACAGCCUCUCCCAUAGCCAUCUACUUUGUUUUUGAUUCAGGGAUCCUGGGAACCAGAAUUGAGAUGCUGUUGGUUUUGCUCCAGUCUGUCCUCCAGCCACUGUAGGAGAGGCCCGCUGACUGCUGACAUUUGACUGCACAGAUUCUUGGUAAACACUUCAACAGGAAGAACACGGAUGAGAUAACACUCCACCACCA